UACGGGGGGGGCAAGCGUUGUUCGGAAUUACUGGGCGUAAAGGGGACGUAGGCGGCCAACUAAGUCCGACGUGAAAUCCCCAGGCUUAACCUGGGAACUGCAUCCGAUACUGGAUGGCUUGAAUCCGGGAGAGGGAUGCGGAAUUCCAGGUGUAGCGGUGAAAUGCGUAGAUAUCUGGAGGAACACCGGUGGCGAAGGCGGCAUCCUGGACCGGCAUUGACGCUGAGGAGCGAAAGCCAGGGGAGCAAACGGG
This 253-nucleotide ribosomal RNA is filed under the name uncultured bacterium. Its description in RNAcentral is "partial 16S ribosomal RNA". It matches the Rfam family "Bacterial small subunit ribosomal RNA", at positions 524 to 776 of the family's 1533-position model. The record is from RNAcentral.